This 491-nucleotide small RNA is filed under the name Pan troglodytes (chimpanzee). RNAcentral's name for it is "processed transcript". Lineage: Eukaryota; Metazoa; Chordata; Mammalia; Primates; Hominidae. The record is from RNAcentral.
AGUGGAGCAUCCAAGGGGAGAGAUGACUCUGGGGACGACGACGAGGCUGCCAACCCAGCCGACAAGAGCGAGCUGCACCACACCCUGAAGAAUCUUUCCCUGAAGUUAGAUGACCUCAGCACGUGCAAUGACCUCAUCGCCAAGCACGGCGCCGCACUCCAGCGCUCCCUGACAGAGCUGGACGGCCUCAAGAUCCCAUCUGAGAGUGGGGAGAAGCUGAAGGUGGUGAAUGAGCGGGCCACCCUCUUCCGCAUCACAUCCAAUGCUAUGAUCAACAAGCCACUGCCCGAGGCUUCCCAGGCACUGCCUCCCUACCCGAGACCAAAACUGCUUUGUCUUGAAUAAGCAGUUUUGGCUUUUCCGAGAUAAUGAGCGUCUCAGCUGGCUGCCGUCUUGCACAGUCUUUUAUCAGACAUCAGAGGCUCAUCUGUGUUUACGAAGCCAUCAGAACAGCUCCAAGUUUAAGUGCCUAAUGAAUUGUUUUAUGAGAA